Molecule: long non-coding RNA, 1507 nt
Organism: Lotus japonicus
Lineage: Eukaryota; Viridiplantae; Streptophyta; Magnoliopsida; Fabales; Fabaceae
Exons: 2
Source: RefSeq, a predicted model, not a curated record
UCUGAUUUUGUUUGGUUCAAAUUUUAGGAGGGGAGGGGAGGGAAAUGGGGGGGAGCAAAUUCCCUCCAACCUCAACUUUUUGUUCCCCCCAAAAGUGGGGGAAUUUGGAGGGGAAAUAAAUUUCAGACAAAAAUAACCCUGCACAAAUUAAAAAAUUCCAAUUUAUCCUAUAGGGUUUCAUGUGUAUAUCCCCUUCUUCAUUUCACGUAUAGGUCAGCUUCUUCAUACCAACCACCUCUGGCCCCUUCUCUGGUCUCUCUCCGCCGGUGCCCCCCACUCCGCCGCCGCCUCUUCUCGGCUGCGCCGGCCCCUGCAUUCGCACCCCAACUGCAGCCCUUUCUUUGUCACCAAUUGAAUCAAUCAGAUGGAUGUUGAAGAUUCGAAUCAAACUUGGUACGAUUUGCAUCGAAGAAGUGCUGUAGCUCAGUUCAUGUGCCAUGUUGUUUAUUACCUUGUGCUUCAGAGGUCUCGUAAGAGAAAAAUUAGUUACAGUAUGAGCUCUGAGAGAGAAAGGGUGCGGGAAGAAAUAAUGGGUAGAAUCAGUAAUAGUGAAACCAGCAGACAUAUAUUGAGAAUGGGUCCUCAAGCCUUUUUAAUGCUAUGUGGUAUGUUAGAAAGAGAGGGGGGCUUACAACCCACAAGAUGGUCAAGUGUAGAAGAACAAGUUGCCAAAACAAUUUACAUAUUAACACACAAUGCUAAAAAUCGUGAAGUAAAUUUUUGGUUUCGUCGAUCUGGUGAGACGAUUAGUCGUCAUCUCCAUCAUGUGUUGAGAGCCCUCCUUCAAUUGGAAGCAAAGAAUUAUAAAGAACGCAUUAAGACGAGAAGAUAGGCUUAAAAUCCCUCAAGGUAAUGAGUAAAUUAAGUUUGCAAUUUAGGCAAUACUUGAUUUUAAAAUUAUCUCAUUGAUUACUCAACUUGAUUAUAGGAAAAGCUUUACUUUUCCAGGUUUUGCCUGUUUUGUAUACAUGUUACCUAACUUAGGGAAGCAUGUGUGACUAAUAUUGAAACCAUUUAGUAUUAAUUAGCGUCAAUGGUUCUGCAAAUUUGGAGGCUAUUUUAGAGCUGGUUAAGCGUGGUCAUUGUGUGAUGGUAAUUUCUUUUCUAAUGUUGAAUGGGGUGCUGUUGCUGGAAUAAUAGAAUUGCAGUAAAGUUGGAGUUGGUUUGCUUUUGCCAGCUAAUUCAAUCCUUGCUUGUUUCGAGGCUUCUGUUGUGGGUGGGUGGCAUGAAGGAUUUUGCUUAUAGUGCUACUGGAGAAGGGUCUUGAAUGUUACUAGUGGUCUUGACUAUUUUGCUCUUUUCCCUGGAAGUGUUCUCUAGUCUUUAUAACUUGUGUAUUAAUUUUUUAGGCACUGUUUCAGGGAUUUUUCCAGUUUUCUUUCUUAUUUGUAUUUUGCUUUUGCUCCGACUUGAAUAUUUUGUUGGAAGUGCAGAUCCUGAAAAAUUAUGCAGAAUAUUUUGUUGUGGUGAAGGUUUAAAAUUAUGCAGAAUAAUUGUUGAUGAAGAA